This 460-nucleotide ribosomal RNA is filed under the name uncultured bacterium. RNAcentral describes it as "partial 16S ribosomal RNA". It matches the Rfam family "Bacterial small subunit ribosomal RNA", at positions 338 to 795 of the family's 1533-position model. The record is from RNAcentral.
CCUACGGGGUGCUGCAGUGAGGAAUAUUGGUCAAUGGGCGGGAGCCUGAACCAGCCAAGUCGCGUGAGGGAAGACGGUCCUAUGGAUUGUAAACCUCUUUAGGCGGGGAGCAAUGCAGGGCACGCGUGCCCGGAGGGAGAGUACCCGCAGAAUAAGCAUCGGCUAACUCCGUGCCAGCAGCCGCGGUAAGACGGAGGAUGCGCGCGUUAUCCGGAUUUAUUGGGUGUAAAGGUUGCGGAGGCGUAUUUUUAAGUCAGCGGUAAAAUGUCCGGGCUCAACCCGGGCCGGCCGUUGAAACUGGGGAGCUUGAGUGGGCGAGAAGUAUGCGGAAUGCGUGGUGUAGCGGUGAAAUGCAUAGAUAUCACGCAGAACUCCGAUUGCGAAGGCAGCAUACCGGCGCCCGACUGACGCUGAGGCACGAAAGCGUGGGGAUCGAACAGGAUUAGAUACCCCGGUAGUC